Molecule: long non-coding RNA, 429 nt
Organism: Jaculus jaculus (lesser Egyptian jerboa)
Lineage: Eukaryota; Metazoa; Chordata; Mammalia; Rodentia; Dipodidae
Exons: 3
Source: RefSeq, a predicted model, not a curated record
AGGCUGUGGACUGGAAAAACAACCAGAAAAGACAAAAGAGUAAUAUGAUGUGGACAGUAACUGAGGUGGGCUACUUGGGAAAGGGUGAUCAGGCAACGCGUCUUGUGACGGCUGAGACCUGAGCGGACUUGUCACCGCACAGUCUGAGGUUCCCUGCUCAGGAGGAAAAGCAUGCAGAGUUGAGGAAAGGAAGUAUGCACCGGAACCAGUGCAGAACAUGUGACAGACAGAGACAGGAAGCUCCGGAGGUCAUUGAGCACAAGAGAAGACUUGAGGAAGCGUCACAGGCAAGAGGAACCUACUAAGCAAAUGACAGGUCACUGUGAUGUGGUAAAGAAACUAAAACCAUCCACAUGAGGACAAUACUAGUGCUGGCCUGUAGCUCCCAGUACCAGGAUGCAGUUAACACUCACAAUGAGCUGUUGAUCA